This 460-nucleotide ribosomal RNA is filed under the name uncultured bacterium. RNAcentral describes it as "partial 16S ribosomal RNA". It matches the Rfam family "Bacterial small subunit ribosomal RNA", at positions 338 to 795 of the family's 1533-position model. The record is from RNAcentral.
CCUACGGGAGGCAGCAGUGAGGAAUAUUGGUCAAUGGGCGCGAGCCUGAUCCAGCCAAGCAGCGUGAAGGAUGACUGCCCUACGGGUUGUAAACUUCUUUUAUAAAGGAAUAAAGUGAGGCACGUGUGCCUUUUUGUAUGUACUUUAUGAAUAAGGAUCGGCUAACUCCGUGCCAGCAGCCGCGGUAAUACGGAGGAUCCGAGCGUUAUCCGGAUUUAUUGGGUUUAAAGGGAGCGUAGAUGGGUUGUUAAGUCAGUUGUGAAAGUUUGCGGCUCAACCGUAAAAUUGCAAUUGAUACUGGCAGUCUUGAGUACAGUUGAGGUAGGCGGAAUUCGUGGUGUAGCGGUGAAAUGCGUAGAUAUCACGAAGAACUCCGAUUGCGAAGGCAGCUUACUAAACUGACACUGACAUUGAUGCUCGAAAGUGUGGGUAUCAAACAGGAUUAGAUACCCGGGUAGUC